Non-coding RNA from Phrynosoma platyrhinos (Desert horned lizard), 72 nucleotides. Lineage: Eukaryota; Metazoa; Chordata; Lepidosauria; Squamata; Phrynosomatidae. The record is from the annotation of a GenBank genome assembly.
GCCAGAAUGGUCUAGUGGUUUGUACAUUGUACUAUGAUUCUGGAGACCAGGGUUCAAAUCCAUGCUCAGCUA